CAGCUCUUCAAGUGGUCGGGAUAAUUAUUGGGCUUAAAGUGUCCGUAGCCGGUUUAGUAAGUUCCUGGUAAAAUCGGGUAGCUUAACUAUCCGUAUGCUAGGAAUACUGCUAUACUAGAGGGCGGGAGAGGUCUGAGGUACUACAGGGGUAGGGGUGAAAUCUUAUAAUCCUUGUAGGACCACCAGUGGCGAAGGCGUCAGACUGGAACGCGCCUGACGGUGAGGGACGAAAGCCAGGGGAGCAAACCGGAUUAGAUACCCGAGUAGUCC
This 270-nucleotide ribosomal RNA is filed under the name uncultured archaeon. RNAcentral's name for it is "partial 16S ribosomal RNA". It matches the Rfam family "Archaeal small subunit ribosomal RNA", at positions 477 to 747 of the family's 1478-position model. The record is from RNAcentral.